This is a long non-coding RNA of Rhineura floridana, 814 nucleotides long. RefSeq lists it as uncharacterized. The transcript is spliced from 3 exons. NCBI's taxonomy places the organism in Eukaryota, Metazoa, Chordata, Lepidosauria, Squamata, Rhineuridae. The record is from RefSeq and is a predicted model, not a curated record.
CGCAAAAGAUUCUGGAAGAUUUCAUCAUCAGAAAGCCCCCUGAGUGGCUAAUUAAUUCCUGGCUGUUGCUGGUCUUUCCCCCAUAAAAAUAGAGAAUUCUGAAGGGACGAUAUUCCUGUAUAUGCUCAGUAGAGAGAAGACAUGAGCCUCCAGUAAGAAAGGGAGAUGAAUUUCCUUGGAUGCAGUUAGGAACUGGUGGUUAGACAAGAGUGAUCACCCUGCCUGCUACCUCCUUUCUGUCAAGCCCUGAAAUCAAAGUAGGAACAGGGUCCUGCCAAGGCUGUUCUUGUAUGCAGUGUCAUGUGCAGCAUGCUCAAUUCCUCAUGAGAAAAACACAAGCCUGCAAAGCAUAGCAUGUUCCAUAUCCCCUGCAAUUUCAGGGGAUGCUGGGCAUCAAGACCUACUGGAGAUGGGCUCAAGGUCCAUACGGAGUCAGUGCUGCACCACAAAAAUAACCUCAACGUGCAGUGGGAGCUGGUGCAGGAGUUGGGUGUGGGCCCCAUGCCCCACUCAGAAUCCCUGGCUGCACUGAUCCAACCCCCAUGUACCCAGACUUCAGCCAGCGUAAAAAGACACUUGCUCCCCGUGUGGACUGUAGAAACAGCUGUGCAGUGUUAUCUUUCCAGCUCUCCCAGAGGCACUGAAGCCUCAGAGCAUGAGAGCUCUCUGCAGUAACAGCUGGGGGAGGUGGCACAGGUGGUGCUGUAUUGCUUCCCAGGACCACAGGUCGCUGCUGCACACUGGGUGGAGGAGACGUGAGGCAUGGGUAGCUCAGUGCAGCAGACCCAGUCUGACACACAUGCUGCCAUGCAUC